Molecule: long non-coding RNA, 319 nt
Organism: Cryptomeria japonica (Japanese cedar)
Lineage: Eukaryota; Viridiplantae; Streptophyta; Pinopsida; Cupressales; Cupressaceae
Exons: 3
Source: RefSeq, a predicted model, not a curated record
AUAUAAUCUUUGUACAUUUUUUGUAUAGGUAAUAGCGAUAGUUUCUACAUCGAUGGUGAGCCAUCCUCAGUCCAUUGGAGAAGCAUCUCAGGCACAGACUCCUUCGCGGUACGACCAUAACGUGGAUCCAUUUAAGUAUGUCUUCAAGAAAACUUCUAAGAGUGACAAGGAGAGGAGAGCGAAGACAUUAGCUCCUGGAUUAGCCAAUGAGCCAUCUACAGAGCCGCGUACUGCACCGAAGAGGCUUGAUUUUGAUGAUCCACCACAAGUUUAGGAUCAUAUAGUGUUAGUUUUGGUCAUAGAAUGACUAAUACAUGUA